RNAcentral lists this ribosomal RNA (397 nucleotides) under uncultured bacterium. Its description in RNAcentral is "bacterial SSU rRNA". It matches the Rfam family "Bacterial small subunit ribosomal RNA", at positions 29 to 429 of the family's 1533-position model. The record is from RNAcentral.
AUUGAACGCUGGCGGAAUGCUUUACACAUGCAAGUCGAGCGGCAGCGCGGGGGCAACCCUGGCGGCGAGCGGCGAACGGGUGAGUAACAUAUCGGAACGUACCCAGUCGUGGGGGAUAACUAUCCGAAAGGAUAGCUAAUACCGCAUACGUCCUGAGGGAGAAAGCGGGGGAUCGCAAGACCUCGCGCGAUUGGAGCGGCCGAUAUCGGAUUAGCUAGUUGGUGGGGUAAAGGCUCACCAAGGCGACGAUCCGUAGCGGGUCUGAGAGGACGACCCGCCACACUGGAACUGAGACACGGUCCAGACUCCUACGGGAGGCAGCAGUGGGGAAUUUUGGACAAUGGGCGCAAGCCUGAUCCAGCCAUGCCGCGUGAGUGAAGAAGGCCUCGGUUGUAAG